Non-coding RNA from Nothobranchius furzeri (turquoise killifish), 1232 nucleotides. Lineage: Eukaryota; Metazoa; Chordata; Actinopteri; Cyprinodontiformes; Nothobranchiidae. The record is from RefSeq and is a predicted model, not a curated record.
ACCUGCUGUUUUCCAAAAAAAAAAAAAAAAAAAAAAAAAAAAAAAAGAGAGGACGCAAAUGAAGAGUCUUACGGAUGGGAGUCGCGAGGGGUGAUGAUACCGGAGCGCGUCGGUGAGCGGAUCCUGUUCCACCGGUGAUAAUAAAGCCUUAGAAAUAAAAGCCUAGGAAAUAGUUGGGAGGAGGGAGGGACCGCUAUUCCUGCUAGGGCAGGUUUACAACUGAUGUCUUACACCCACUCCAGGAAACAAACCUGGGUAGGGACUGACGUGUUACGCCUCUUCUAAUGACAUUUUUUUCUUUCCACCUCCUUUUCUCCGCCGCGGCGCGCAGAGGAAGGAGAAGCCCCCUGAAACGCACGCCACCUAUCUUCACGGGAGGGGAUAAUUGAGGAGAGUCAAACGUGAGCAUCUUCUGGGUUGAAGGUUUUUUUCCCCUUCCUUCCUCUCACUCCCUCUCUCCCCCCUCGCCGUUCCUCUGCUUUCCUUUGCCCUCACUCUCGUCUCUGUUUCUGAGGGUUUGCGUCUUUCUCGUGUGAGCGCGCACGGACAGAAGGGGAGAAAACUUCAUCACGUGCCGGCUGCGAUCAUUCCGCCUCUCUAUGGCUAAUUAAAUCAUCAAUCAAGAGGCUGAACCGGUUGAUGCCCCCCUCCCCUUCCCCCACUUACAAAGAGCCAAUCAGGAGGCGCGUAAACUGGCGACACAACCUGCAAAGGGGGAAGGCUGAAGGACCUUUCAGAAUAAAAGUUUUGGGGUAAGUUUCGUUUUAUUUGAAUUUCUGUUGUCAAGUCAUGCUUUUAAACAUGGAGGAGGAGGAAGAUGCGUGUGUUCAGACCUGUGUGUGAAUUAUUGAAAUUUAGUGUCAUUGAGCGCGUGCGUACGUCCACAUUUCUCUUUUUGUCUCACAUUUGAACUGUAGUGCCUCUUCCGUGCACGCGCGCACACUCGCACACACAACGUAGAGCAGCACCCCCUCUCUUCUCCACGGGUUGCACAUCCACCGUGAAAACGGAUUAGUCAGUAUGAGACCUAUAGGGGGACCUUAAUGAAUAUAUAGCUUUAUGUUAGGUGUGUUUGGGGGUGCGUGCGUGUGUGCGCGCGCGCUGUUUAAUUCUAGAUGUAAAACCAACCAUGUUAAAACGACAACAUAAUCUUUUGGUUUCAUUGUAAAAUUAGAUUUUUUUUUACCAAAUGUAUUUUUUCUUCUUUAAAUAAAAAUAUAUUUGACAUCAAA